Felis catus (domestic cat) is the source of this 632-nucleotide long non-coding RNA. RefSeq lists it as uncharacterized. The transcript is spliced from 2 exons. The record is from RefSeq and is a predicted model, not a curated record. Lineage: Eukaryota; Metazoa; Chordata; Mammalia; Carnivora; Felidae.
CCAGGCUCCGAGCUGUCAGCGCAGAGCCCGAUGCGGGGUCUGAACUCAAGAACUGCGCGAUCACAACUUCAGCCGAAGUCGGACGCAUAACGGACCGAGCCACCCAGGCGCCCCACUGCUGUCUGCAUUUACAGCGGCCACCCAUUUUCAUUUCACAGGCAGGAACAAGGCAACCACAGGCCCUUUGCAGCUGGCCGUGAACACAACUUGCAAAUCACAGCUGGAACUGCCAUGGAGCCGAAAGGGAGCUCAGCGGACGCUGCGUUCUUCCACGUGUCCUGUGCAUGGCGCCAUUCAAAUGCCACCCGAGAAAAUGCAGAAUCUUUUUUGAUUCCUCCCUCCUUCCCUCUCUUUCGGCGCAUCCAGUCGGUCACCAAAAACUGUCCAUCUACUUCUAGACUGAGAUCUGAAUGUGAUGGGCACCUAGCCUCUCUGAAGCACGACUGGCCCCCAUUGCCACUGACAGUUAUCAACUGCAGCCGCAGGCUCUUGAGGGGAAUGCCUUAUCAGAGCAGCACCUUCUGUCUGUUCUCGAUGAUCGACCAUUACCAAAAAUAUUUUAAAAUCAUUCAAUUUAUUUAAUAAAUAUUUUAUAAAAGAAAUAUACAUAAAGAAAUAUUUAUAAAACCUGA